UAGUCCACGCCGUAAACUAUGAUCACUCGUUGUUGGCGAUAUACUGUCAGUGACUAAGCGAAAGCGUUAAGUGAUCCACCUGGGGAGUACGAUCGCAAGGUUGAAACUCAAAGGAAUUGACGGGGGCCCGCACAAGCGGUGGAGCAUGUGGUUUAAUUCGAUGAUACGCGAGGAACCUUACCAGGGCUUUAAAUGGGCUUUGACCGUCCCGGAAACGGGACUUCCCUUCGGGGCGAAGCUCAAGGUGCUGCAUGGUUGUCGUCAGCUCGUGCCGUGAGGUGUCGGGUUAAGUCCCAUAACGAGCGCAACCCCUAUUCUUAGUUGCCAGCGGGUAAUGCCGGGAACUCUAAGGAAACUGCCAGCGCAAGCUGUGAGGAAGGUGGGGAUGACGUCAAAUCAUCACGGCCCUUACGUCCUGGGCUACACACGUGCUACAAUGGCCGGUACAGAGGGCAGCUACCUGGUGACAGGAUGCAAAUCUCGAAAAGCCGGUCUCAGUUCGGAUCGGAGUCUGCAACUCG
RNAcentral lists this ribosomal RNA (521 nucleotides) under uncultured bacterium. RNAcentral describes it as "bacterial SSU rRNA". It matches the Rfam family "Bacterial small subunit ribosomal RNA", at positions 791 to 1314 of the family's 1533-position model. The record is from RNAcentral.